UUAACACAUGCAAGUCGAACGCUGAAGCCUGGUGCUUGCACCGGGUGGAUGAGUGGCGAACGGGUGAGUAACACGUGAGUAACCUGCCCCUGACUUCGGGAUAAGCCCGGGAAACUGGGUCUAAUACCGGAUACGACUGCCGGACGCAUGUCUGGUGGUGGAAAGUUUUUUCGGUUGGGGAUGGGCUCGCGGCCUAUCAGUUUGUUGGUGAGGUAAUGGCUCACCAAGACGACGACGGGUAGCCGGCCUGAGAGGGCGACCGGCCACACUGGGACUGAGACACGGCCCAGACUCCUACGGGAGGCAGCAGUGGGGAAUAUUGCACAAUGGGGGAAACCCUGAUGCAGCGACGCAGCGUGCGGGAUGACGGCCUUCGGGUUGUAAACCGCUUUCAGCAGGGAAGAAGCGCAAGUGACGGUACCUGCAGAAGAAGUACCGGCUAACUACGUGCCAGCAGCCGCGGUAAUACGUAGGGUACGAGCGUUGUCCGGAAUUAUUGGGCGUAAAGAGCUCGUAGGUGGUUGGUCACGUCUGCUGUGGAAACGCAACGCUUAACGUUGCGCGUGCAGUGGGUACGGGCUGACUAGAGUGCAGUAGGGGAGUCUGGAAUUCCUGGUGUAGCGGUGAAAUGCGCAGAUAUCAGGAGGAACACCGGUGGCGAAGGCGGGACUCUGGGCUGUAACUGACACUGAGGAGCGAAAGCAUGGGGAGCGAACAGGAUUAGAUACCCUGGUAGUCCAUGGGCGUAAACGUUGGGCACUAGGUGUGGGGGGCAUUCCACGUUCUCCGCGCCGUAGCUAACGCAUUAAGUGCCCCGCCUGGGGAGUACGGUCGCAAGGCUUUUAAAACUCAAAGGAAUUGACGGGGGCCCGCACAAGCGGCGGAGCAUGCGGAUUAAUUCGAUGCAACGCGAAGAACCUUACCAAGGCUUGACAUACACCGGACCGUCCUGGAAACAGGUCCUCUUCUUUGAAGCUGGUGUACAGGUGGUGCAUGGUUGUCGUCAGCUCGUGUCGUGAGAUGUUGGGUUAAGUCCCGCAACGAGCGCAACCCUCGUUCUAUGUUGCCAGCACGUGAUGGUGGGAACUCAUAGGAGACUGCCGGGGUCAACUCGGAGGAAGGUGGGGAUGACGUCAAAUCAUCAUGCCCUUUAUGUCUUGGGCUUCACGCAUGCUACAAUGGCUGGUACAGAGAGAGGCGAACCCGUGAGGGCAAGCGAAUCCCUUAAAGCCAGUCUCAGUUCGGAUCGUAGUCUGCAAUUCGACUACGUGAAGUCGGAGUCGCUAGUAAUCGCAGAUCAGCAACGCUGCGGUGAAUACGUUCCCGGGCCUUGUACACACCGCCCGUCAAGUCACGAAAGUCGGUAACACCCGAAGCCGGUGGCCUAACCGUAAGGAGGGGGCCGUCUAAGGUGGGACUGGUGAUUGGGACUAAGUCGUAACAGGU
Molecule: ribosomal RNA, 1446 nt
Filed under: Brevibacterium sp.
Lineage: Bacteria; Bacillati; Actinomycetota; Actinomycetes; Micrococcales; Brevibacteriaceae
Description: bacterial SSU rRNA
Rfam family: Bacterial small subunit ribosomal RNA
Source: RNAcentral